ACCGAUACUCAACCAUUACAAUAAAUAGAAGUUGUAAUGAGUAAGAGGGCGUGAAUACUGUGUAGAAGGCUUGAACGUGAGUUUGGCUGGAACAGUAUUUAGUGCAGAUCUUGGUGGUAGUAGCAAAUAUUCAAAUGAGAACUUUGAAGACCGAAGUGGAGAAGGGUUCCAUGAGAACAGCAUUUGUUCAUGGGUUACUCGAUCCUAAGACAUAGGGAAAUUCCUUGUAAUAUAUGUAUUCUUACGAAUGCAUUGUCAAAAGGGAAUGAGGUUGAUAUUCCUCAAGCUGAAUGUGGAGGUUUCGUGGCAACACAAACAAGCUCGGAGACAUCGGUAUGUACAACUGGAAGAGUUCUCUUUUCUUCUUAACAAUCUAUCUCCCUGAAUGGAUUAUCCAGAGCUAGGGAUAUAUGGUUGGCAGAG
This 423-nucleotide ribosomal RNA is filed under the name uncultured eukaryote. RNAcentral's name for it is "eukaryotic LSU rRNA". It matches the Rfam family "Eukaryotic large subunit ribosomal RNA", at positions 1340 to 1763 of the family's 3401-position model. The record is from RNAcentral.